RNAcentral lists this ribosomal RNA (373 nucleotides) under uncultured bacterium. RNAcentral describes it as "bacterial SSU rRNA". It matches the Rfam family "Bacterial small subunit ribosomal RNA", at positions 525 to 896 of the family's 1533-position model. The record is from RNAcentral.
ACGAGGGGUCUAAGCGUUGUUCGGAAUCACUGGGCGUAAAGCGGGUGUAGGUGGCUCAGCAAGUUAGAUGUGAAAGCCCCGGGCUCAACCCGGGAAGUGCAUCUAAAACUACUGAGCUUGAGUACGGGAGAGGGAAGCAGAAUUCCUGGUGUAGUGGUGAAAUACGUAGAUAUCAGGAGGAACACCGGUGGCGAAGGCGGUUUCCUGGCCCAGUACUGACACUCAGACCCGAAAGCGUGGGUAGCAAACAGGAUUAGAUACCCUGGUAGUCCACGCCUUAAACGAUGAUCACUUGGUGUUGGAGGUAUUGACCCCUUCAGUGCCGAAGCUAACGCGUUAAGUGAUCCGCCUGGGAAGUACGGUCGCAAGAUUA